GCCCUUAGAGUUUGAUCAUGGCUCAGGACGAACGCUGGCGGCGUGCUUAACACAUGCAAGUCGAACGAGGGACGAGGUGCUUGCACCUUGUACCCGAGUGGCGGACGGGUGAGUAACACGUGACCAACCUAGCUUCGAGAGGGGGACAACCCGGGGAAACCUGGGCUAAUACCGCGUAGGGCUCUGGUUUCGCAUGGAACUGGAGUGAAAGGGAGCCUCUGCAUGCAAGCUCUCGCUCGAAGGGGGGGUCGCGGCGUAUCAGCUAGUUGGUGGGGUAAUGGCCUACCUAGGCGACGACGCGUAGCGGGUCUGAGAGGACGACCCGUCACAUUGGGACUGAGAUACGGCCCAAACUCCUACGGGAGGCAACAGUGGCGAAUAUUGCGCAAUGGUCGAAAGACUGACGCAUCGACACCGUGUGUGGAAGGAAGCCCCUAGGGGUGUUAACCACUGUCAGAGGGGAACAAC
This 468-nucleotide ribosomal RNA is filed under the name uncultured Alphaproteobacteria bacterium. RNAcentral describes it as "bacterial SSU rRNA". It matches the Rfam family "Bacterial small subunit ribosomal RNA", at positions 1 to 450 of the family's 1533-position model. The record is from RNAcentral. Lineage: Bacteria; Pseudomonadati; Pseudomonadota; Alphaproteobacteria.